Molecule: ribosomal RNA, 119 nt
Filed under: Brassica oleracea var. oleracea
Lineage: Eukaryota; Viridiplantae; Streptophyta; Magnoliopsida; Brassicales; Brassicaceae
Source: RNAcentral
AUUCGGGAUCAUACCAGCACUAAUAUACCGGAUCCCAUCAGAAUUCUACGGUUAAGCGUGUUUAGACGAGAGUAGUAAUAGGAUGGGUGACCUCCAGGAAAGUUCUCGUGUUGCACACC